GGUUUAAACGACUCGCCCUUAGAGUUUGAUUAUGGCUCAGAACAAACGCUGGGCGGCGUGUCUUAAGCAUGCAAGUCGAGCGGUAGGCGUAGCAAUACGCUGAGAGCGGCGGACUGGUGAGUAACGCGUGGAUGAUCUACCGUUAGGGCAUGGGGAUAGCCACUAGAAAUAGUGGGUAAUACCGAAUACGUUUGCACAGGUGAAGCUGUGUAAAGAAAGGAUCCUACGGGGUCGGCCUAACGAUGAGUCUGCGUCCCAUUAGCUAGUUGGUGAGGUAAAGGCCCACCAAGGCGAUGAUGGGUAGCCGGCCUGAGAGGGUGUACGGCCACACUGGGACUGAGAUACGGCCCAGACUCCUACGGGAGGCAGCAGCUAAGAAUAUUCCGCAAUGGACGAAAGUCUGACGGAGCGACGCCGCGUGGAUGAAGAAGGCCGCAAGGUUGUAAAAUCCUUUUGCUGGGGAAGAAUAAGUCCAGGAGGGAAUGCCUGGAUGAUGACAUGAACCGGCGAAUAAGCCCCGGCCAACUACGUGCCAGCAGCCGCGGUAACACGUAGGGGGCAAGCGUUGUUCGGAAUUACUGGGCGUAAAGGGCAUGUAGGCGGUUUAGUAAGCUUGGCGUGAAAGACCACAGCUCAACUGUGGGGUUGCGUUGAGAACUGCUGAACUUGAGUUACGGAGAGGGAGCUAGAAUUCCUGGUGUAGGGGUGGAAUCUGUAGAGAUCAGGAAGAAUACCGAUGGCGAAGGCAAGCUUCUGGCCGAUAACUGACGCUGAGGUGCGAAAGUGUGGGGAUCAAACAGGAUUAGAUACCCUGGUAGUCCACACGGUAAACGAUGUACACUAGGUGCUGGUGCGGAUGCAUCAGGGCCGAAGCGAACGCGCUAAGUGUACCGCCUGGGGAGUAUGCUCGCAAGGGUGAAACUCAAAGGAAUUGACGGAAGGCGAAUUCGCG
This 952-nucleotide ribosomal RNA is filed under the name uncultured bacterium. Its description in RNAcentral is "bacterial SSU rRNA". It matches the Rfam family "Bacterial small subunit ribosomal RNA", at positions 1 to 931 of the family's 1533-position model. The record is from RNAcentral.